This 2173-nucleotide long non-coding RNA is filed under the name Equus asinus (donkey). RNAcentral describes it as "lncRNA (ENSEASG00005033036.1)". Lineage: Eukaryota; Metazoa; Chordata; Mammalia; Perissodactyla; Equidae. The record is from RNAcentral.
UUAAGUGUUUGAAUGAUUUCUUUUAAUUCUCGCCACAUCUGUGACACUGAUGAAGAAAGCCAGAAUCAGGGAAUUUAGCUUCCCCUCGGUCAUUCAGCUGCAGUCGAGAUUAGAAUCCAGAAACCUCUGGCUCCGAAACAAUUACACUUUAUGACUUUUUGAUGACAGGAGAAUUUCACUCCCCUCCCUGUUUUCUUUUUCUUCUUUCCAAGGGUCCCUAGUAGAUGAUUUCGUUAUUUAAGAUGUAAUGUGGUAUAGAGGAAAGAGGCGGGCUUUGGAACCACGCAGACCUGAGUCGGAAUUACGUCUUCUGGACUUAUUAGUGGACUGGCUUUGGGAAAAUGACUUAACAUCUGUAGAUUUUGAUUUUCUCAUCUUCCAAAGUGAGGUCACAAUGCCCUAGAACCCAACCCAUGGCUUGGUAUGUCAUAGACAUUCAGUAAAUAUAUACUGAUUCAUUUUUCUCCUCUCUCUUUCCCUUAUUAUUUUUCUCUUCUUUCUCUCAUUCCCUCUUUCUCAUUAUUGUCUUUGAUUCUGUCUCAGAUUGAUCAAAAUAUCCAGGAAUAUUAGGGGACAACUAGGAAAAUUUAAAUACUAGAUACUUAUUGGUAUGAUAAAAUGUGAUUUUUUUAGGUAUGGUCGUUGUACUAUAAUUAUGUUUUAGAAAGAGUUCUUUUUUUCAGAGAUACAUGCUUAGGUGGAUGGAUGCUUUAUGCCUUAUGGAUGCUUUGAUAUGAUGUCUAGGACUUGCUUCAGUAAAACCCAGUGAAGUUAGGGGUUGAGGGACAAGAGUGAGUAGAGAUAUGGACGAAACAAGAUUGGCUAGAUUGAGCAGUAGGUACACAGGGAUUCAUUUUACUAUCAGUCUCUACUUUUGUGUAUGCUUGAAAAUUUCCAAAAUAAAACAUUUUCUAAAAUGUCCAAGAGAAAGUUCAAUCCUCAGUAUCUUCCUCAUGUUCACCAAAGUCCCCAGUUCUCCCCAAUGACAUUCUGGGCAGCUUUUCUCCUUGCUUUUCCCAGUACUUUCUGCGUUGUUCCAGACUCUGUGCCAGUGGAGUGCCGCACUGCCUCAGCCCCCACAGCUGGCGAUUGGACAAGAAUCUCUUCCUGACCCCAGAUGGCAUCACAGCUUCCUCAGUCUGAUCCUGUCAGCAUAUUUUUUCCAGGCACCUGAUUCUUGGACGUGGCAGCAAUAAAACCAACCGGGAUUAUUUGGCCGGCCCCCUCUGGAGCAGGCCGGGAUCCACCUUUGCUUCCAACAUCAUAUGUCACUUCAUACUUUCACAGUCCUUCAAAUCUCUUCUCCCGUCUGAGCUUCAUGUGCUGGGAGGUCCCAUGUACUCACCUUGGCAUAGGUGGGGAGCCGUUGGUCCUGACUGGUUGAUGGCUGACUCCCAGUUCUGUGUUUAUCCACUGAAGCCCAGUGCAGUUGUUGUGCAAGGUGUGGGCAAAGGACCAGGAGAGGGGACCAAGUACCUCUAAGCUGAAGAAUGGUGUGCAUCUCUCCCCCUUCCACCAUUUCUGUUCGGGUUUGACUCACAGAGCCUUGCAGCUUCACAGUCACUUAUAAGAGGAGGUGGUAAAGACAGCUGCUGGAGAGAACAUCUGGCAGGGCUCUGAGCAAAUGUUCCUACCAGGGGGAUGUGAAGCCUGAGACCCUGACUGGCAUCUGAGCCCUGGGAUGCUGAGCGUUCCCCAACUCGUUAAUAAAAGGAUCUGCUGGACUCAUUGUAAGAUGGGAAUGACAAAAACUGUCUGGUUUACAUACGAGAUCACAGAUCAGGAAUGUUGGAGCGUUUCACUGGCAAGGAAUGAAGAGCUCAGCUACAAGCCUCGGAAAACAGGAGCAGGCACAGAGCAACAGCUCGUUGUGUGCUUCUUGCUCUGGGGAAAGGACGUAGUGCCUGUGGACACGGGAGUCCACUAUCAAUGCAUGGUUACACACACCAACCGCCUGCUCUGUGUGCUGGACCCAGAAACCAUAGAGCCUUUUCCCAGCCCUUACAUUAGGACAGAGUACGAGGCUCCGAACUCUCUCCAGUGCAUCCAAGUAUCCUGGGUUUCCUCAUUUUCUGAUCACAUUAUUGACUGGAAGGGGGAGGGGAGGGAGUACAGGUAACUAAGAAGUAGAGCGAGCACAUAGGUGUAUGAACUAUUAUAAAAUAAUAAAAAU